GAGAUGUUAGUAAACCGAUUACAUAGCCUUGUCAAGACUAAAUCACAGGUGAAAGUCCUGUACAUCCCA
This 69-nucleotide transfer RNA is filed under the name Cathartes aura (turkey vulture). RNAcentral's name for it is "tRNA-Asp". It matches the Rfam family "tRNA". Rfam says of the family: Transfer RNA (tRNA) molecules are approximately 80 nucleotides in length. Their secondary structure includes four short double-helical elements and three loops (D, anti-codon, and T loops). Further hydrogen bonds mediate the characteristic L-shaped molecular structure. tRNAs have two regions of fundamental functional importance: the anti-codon, which is responsible for specific mRNA codon recognition, and the 3' end, to which the tRNAs corresponding amino acid is attached (by aminoacyl-tRNA synthetases). tRNAs cope with the degeneracy of the genetic code in two manners: having more than one tRNA (with a specific anti-codon) for a particular amino acid; and 'wobble' base-pairing, i.e. permitting non-standard base-pairing at the 3rd anti-codon position. Lineage: Eukaryota; Metazoa; Chordata; Aves; Accipitriformes; Cathartidae. The record is from RNAcentral.